RNAcentral lists this long non-coding RNA (651 nucleotides) under Mustela putorius furo (domestic ferret). RNAcentral's name for it is "lncRNA (ENSMPUG00000024192.1)". The record is from RNAcentral. Lineage: Eukaryota; Metazoa; Chordata; Mammalia; Carnivora; Mustelidae.
CCCUGCUCUCCCCCACAGAAACCCGGGGGAAGGCAGACCUUCUUAGAGCCAUUUCAGGCAGCCAGGCUGUCAGAAUGAUGAGUUCUACAGCCUAGCAGCUGAACCAAAGAAGAAAAAAGUCCCAACAAGCCCCAUUUCACUGCCCUUGACCUUGCAGUAGAGCUCUAAGUGAAAAAUCUGUCAUCUAUUAAUCUGUUAGAAGUUGACAAAAGGGACUUUGAUCAGAGGUUGUUUUUCCCCCCUUCUUAAGUUUCCUGAUGACACAUAAUAGCCCAUUUCAGCCGGAGGGCCGGAAGCACGGCCCUCAUUCUGCUCACUUCAACCCCAGUGGCCUCCCGCCCCGUGGCUUUCUCCCCACCCCAAUAUUAAUUGGCCUGUCUUGAUGUCUCCCACCACCAUCCCUGCUCCAUCCCCAUCAUGUUCCUCUGCAUGAGGCCGCCGACACGGCAGCCCAGCUCUUGGAACCAUGAAAUUCACAGCCAAGAGAAGCCUCAAGGAUCCCCGAACUGUAGCUUCUGGUUUUAAAGGAAUUAAAAGCCUCGGAGUGGGGGGAAUGUUUUUUAAUAAAAAUAACAUUUGCUGAGGGGUUAUUGUGUACACAUUUCUUACAUAUGUGUUCUCUUGUUUCAUCCUCAAAAUAACUCUGUGAGU